Molecule: non-coding RNA, 90 nt
Organism: Morus notabilis
Lineage: Eukaryota; Viridiplantae; Streptophyta; Magnoliopsida; Rosales; Moraceae
Source: Rfam
UGGAGAAGGGGAGCACGUGCAAAGAGUUGCGUAAUAGCAUCGUAAAGAGUGCCAAAACAUGGGAUUUUGCACGUGCCCUGCUUCUCCAAC